Molecule: ribosomal RNA, 254 nt
Filed under: uncultured bacterium
Lineage: Bacteria
Description: partial 16S ribosomal RNA
Rfam family: Bacterial small subunit ribosomal RNA
Source: RNAcentral
UCGCCUACGGGGGGCAGCAGUGGGGAAUAUUGCACAAUGGGGGAAACCCUGAUGCAGCGACGCCGCGUGAGUGAAGAAGUAAUUCGUUAUGUAAAGCUCUAUCAGCAGGGAAGAAAAUGACGGUACCUGAGUAAGAAGCCCCGGCUAACUACGUGCCAGCAGCCGCGGUAAUACGUAGGGGGCAAGGUUUAUCCGGAUUUCCUGGGUGUAAAGGGAGCGUAGAGGGAAGAGCAAGUCUGGAGUGAAAGGCGGGG